AGGGUGUAAACGCUGCAGACUUGGUGUUGGAAGCCCUUUGGGGGCAUUCAGUGCCGGAGAGAAGUUGUUAAGUCUGCUACUUGGGGAGUACGUCCGCAAGGAUGAAACUUAAAGGAAUUGGCGGGGGAGCACCGCAACGGGAGGAGCGUGCGGUUUAAUUGGAUUCAACACCGUAAAACUACACCAGGGAAGACUGUUACAUGAAAGCCGAGAUGAAGACUCUGCUAGAUUUUCAGAGAGGAGGUGCAUGGCGUCAGUGACU
This 262-nucleotide ribosomal RNA is filed under the name uncultured archaeon. RNAcentral describes it as "partial 16S ribosomal RNA". It matches the Rfam family "Archaeal small subunit ribosomal RNA", at positions 748 to 1008 of the family's 1478-position model. The record is from RNAcentral.